Molecule: ribosomal RNA, 1373 nt
Filed under: uncultured Nostoc sp.
Lineage: Bacteria; Bacillati; Cyanobacteriota; Cyanophyceae; Nostocales; Nostocaceae
Description: bacterial SSU rRNA
Rfam family: Bacterial small subunit ribosomal RNA
Source: RNAcentral
GGAGAUUGCCAUUAAUUGCUAUUGAACGCUGGCGGUAUGCUUAACACAUGCAAUUGACCCUAAAGUCAUGUAACGCGUGAGAAUCUGGCUUCAGGUCUGGGACAACCACUGGAAACGGUGGCUAAUACCGGAUGUGCCGAGAGGUGAGGAGGUUAACUGCCUGAAGAUGAGCUCGCGCCCAUGUCUGAUUAGCUAGUUGGUAGAGUAAGAGGCGCUCCCAUAAGGCGACGAUCAGUAGCUAGUCUGAAGGCCCAGAGGACGAUCAGCCACACUGGGACUGAUAGGCGGGAGGCAGCAGUGGGGAAUUUUCCGCAAUGGGCGAAAGCCUGACGGAGCAAUACCGCGUGAGGGCCGAAGGCUCUUGGGUCGUAAACCUCUUUUCUCAGGGAAGAACACAACGACGGUACCUGAGGAAUAAGCAGGCUAACUCCGUGCCAGCAGCCGCGGUAAUACGGAGGAUGCAAGCGUUAUCCGGAAUGAUUGGGCGUAAAGCGUCCGCAGGUGGCAAUGUAAGUCUUUGCAAUGCUGUUAAAGAGUCUAGCUCAACUAGAUAAGAGCAGUACAUAGCUAGAGUACGUUCGGCCCAGAGGGAAUUCCUGGUGUAGCGGUGAAAUGCGUAGAGAUCAGGAAGAACACCGGUGGCGAAGGCGCUCUGCUAGGCCGUAACUGACACUGAGGGACGAAAGCUAGGGUAGCGAAUGGGAUUAGAUACCCCAGGGUUAAUAGUCCUAGCCGUAAACGAUGGAUACUAGGCGUGGCUUGUAUCGACCCUGCCGUAGCUAACGCGUUAAGUAUCCCGCCUGGGAAGUACGCCGGCAACGGUGAAACUCAAAGGAAUUGACGGGGGCCCGCACAAGCGGUGGAACGCCUUGAAGUAUGUGGUUUAAUUCGAUGCAACGCGAAGAACCUUAAAUGGACAUGUCGCGAAUCUUGAUGAAAGUUGAGAGUGCCUUCGGGAGCGCGAACACAGGUGGUGCAUGGGUCAGCUCGUGUCGUUGCCAAUUUGAGAUGUUGGGUUAAGUCCCGCAACGAGCGCAACCCUCGUUUUUAGUUAAGUUGGGCACUCUAGAGAGACUGCCGGCAUGGUGACAAACCGGAGGAAGGUGGGGAUGACGUCAAGUUUGGUGCCCCUUACGCCUUGGGCUACACACGUACUACAAUGCUUGAAAUCCGGACAGAGGGCAGCAAGCAAGCAAAUCCCGGAAACCGGAGCUCAGUUCAGGAAAUCGCAGGCUGCAGAAACUCGCCUGCGUGAAGGAGGUUGCUAGUAAUUGCAGGUCAGCAUACUGCAGUGAAUUCGUUCCCGGCCCUUGUUUACACACCGCCCGUCACGGAAUUGCCAUGUAUGGGAAUUUGACUACCAACUUGGCCCU